This 73-nucleotide transfer RNA is filed under the name Bos taurus (domestic cattle). It matches the Rfam family "tRNA". Rfam says of the family: Transfer RNA (tRNA) molecules are approximately 80 nucleotides in length. The record is from Rfam by way of RNAcentral. RNAcentral also lists the same sequence under 1 other name. Lineage: Eukaryota; Metazoa; Chordata; Mammalia; Artiodactyla; Bovidae.
UCCCUCGUGGCUCAGAGGGUAAAGCGUCUGCCUGCAAUGCAGGAGACCCUGGGUUCAAUCCCUGGAUCGGGAA